Molecule: ribosomal RNA, 795 nt
Filed under: Pseudarthrobacter sp.
Lineage: Bacteria; Bacillati; Actinomycetota; Actinomycetes; Micrococcales; Micrococcaceae
Description: bacterial SSU rRNA
Rfam family: Bacterial small subunit ribosomal RNA
Source: RNAcentral
CGAUGAAGCCCACUUGUGGGUGGAUUAGUGGCGAACGGGUGAGUAACACGUGAGUAACCUGCCCUUGACUCUGGGAUAAGCCUGGGAAACUGGGUCUAAUACCGGAUAUGACUGAUCAUCGCAUGGUGGUUGGUGGAAAGCUUUUUGUGGUUUUGGAUGGACUCGCGGCCUAUCAGCUUGUUGGUGAGGUAAUGGCUUACCAAGGCGACGACGGGUAGCCGGCCUGAGAGGGUGACCGGCCACACUGGGACUGAGACACGGCCCAGACUCCUACGGGAGGCAGCAGUGGGGAAUAUUGCACAAUGGGCGCAAGCCUGAUGCAGCGACGCCGCGUGAGGGAUGACGGCCUUCGGGUUGUAAACCUCUUUCAGUAGGGAAGAAGCGAAAGUGACGGUACCUGCAGAAGAAGCGCCGGCUAACUACGUGCCAGCAGCCGCGGUAAUACGUAGGGCGCAAGCGUUAUCCGGAAUUAUUGGGCGUAAAGAGCUCGUAGGCGGUUUGUCGCGUCUGCCGUGAAAGUCCGGGGCUCAACUCCGGAUCUGCGGUGGGUACGGGCAGACUAGAGUGAUGUAGGGGAGACUGGAAUUCCUGGUGUAGCGGUGAAAUGCGCAGAUAUCAGGAGGAACACCGAUGGCGAAGGCAGGUCUCUGGGCAUUAACUGACGCUGAGGAGCGAAAGCAUGGGGAGCGAACAGGAUUAGAUACCCUGGUAGUCCAUGCCGUAAACGUUGGGCACUAGGUGUGGGGGACAUUCCACGUUUUCCGCGCCGUAGCUAACGCAUUAAGUGCCCCGCCU